AUGGCGCGGCGCGGGCCGGUUGAGCUGCGGCGGAUCGAGGACCGGACGAGCCGGCAGGUGCGCUUCUCCAAGCGCCGCUCGGGCCUCUUCAAGAAGGCCUUCGAGUUCGGCCUCCUCUACGACGCCGAGGUCGCGCUGCUCGUCUUCUCCCCCGCCGGCAGGCUUUACGAGUAUGCCUCCUCCAGCAUAGAAGAUACAUACGACCGCUAUCAGGCAUUUGGAGGAGCCGGAAAGAACCUGAAUGAAGGCGGUGCAAGCACCAACAAUGGGGGAGAUCCUUCAAAUAUGCAGUCAAGGCUGAAAGAGAUUGCUUCCUGGUCUCUUCAAAACAAUGCUGAUGACGCAGAUGCUAAUGAGCUAGAGAAACUAGAGAAACUACUCACAGAUGCUUUGGAGAAUAUAAAAUCCAAGAAGAUGUUGGCGCAACGAAACAGCGGCGCUAGCGGCGGGAACUCCACCAUCAGUCCCAGGGAACAGGAGGAAGGAAGGAGCUGA
This 495-nucleotide ribosomal RNA is filed under the name Triticum aestivum (bread wheat). RNAcentral describes it as "partial small subunit ribosomal RNA". Lineage: Eukaryota; Viridiplantae; Streptophyta; Magnoliopsida; Poales; Poaceae. The record is from RNAcentral.